Meriones unguiculatus (Mongolian gerbil) is the source of this 1242-nucleotide long non-coding RNA. RefSeq lists it as uncharacterized. The transcript has 3 exons. The record is from RefSeq and is a predicted model, not a curated record. NCBI's taxonomy places the organism in Eukaryota, Metazoa, Chordata, Mammalia, Rodentia, Muridae.
GAGGAGAGAGUUAACGUGGACAGGCCCUGCUGAGCUCUCUGUGGCUGAAGCCAGUCCUGAGGCCACCAGGGUUGCCUCUCCAAAAGCCUCUGCAAUGGUUAAUAUAGGUGCAAGACUGAUAGAGUCUACAAUCAGCAAGGAGUCAAGCCUCCGGUCACGCCUGUGAGGGAUCUUCUAGAUCCGUGUGGCUGAGCUGGAAGACCCCCCUAACCGAUGGACUGAAUGAAAAGGAGAAAGCUAUCAGCAGUGAUUACGUUGAUGGACACUAUGUAGCCAGUGGCCUCAAGAGUCUGCUCUCAGGAUUUCCCCACCACAGCGGACUGGAGCCCCAAACUGUGGGCUAGAAUAAACUUUCCUUCCUGAGAUGGGAUGGCCUCAUCUGAGAUGGUGUUUGUCCGGCAACGUGUCAAAAAUGAAAGUCUCUCAGUACCUUGUGCUCUGGCUCCCUCCUCUGCCAGCUGUUGAGGUUUCUGUGGGCACCAGGAGAUGAGAGGCAGGCCCACCUCCUGUGUCACCUGAGCCUACAGGGGCUGGUUCCACAGUUAGCCUGCUUUAUGCCACCAAGCCAACGGGCACCACGGGGCACAGGGUUGCCAAUCCACCUCCAACAGCCCCUGCUCCCAAGAGCAUCCGUUGAGGUGCUGGCUGCCUGUGCAAAGGCUUUCUACCAAAGUGUCACCAGGAUGAGCUAGAACCUUCUCGGUUCCAGGGAAUCUGACACCACCUUCUAGCCGUCACAGGUGUGCUGCCUGCAUGCGGCAAUAGACCUAUUUGCAGGAGGAAGAGGAAGGAAGCAGAACGCCACCAUGGGUUAAUGUGGAGAGAAGUACAUGGCCUGAUUGGCGUGGAUGGAGGAUUAAAGGCAUUUGCCAGCACCACUGGAGUUGUCCCUUGAAGAAGAAGAGGAAAAGAAGAAGAAGAAAAAGAAGAAGAAGAAGAAGAGGAAGAGGAAGAGGAAGAGGAAGAGGAAGAGGAAGAAGAAGAAGAAGAAGAAGAAGAAGAAGAAGAAGAAGAAGAAGAAGAAGAAGAAGAAGAAGAAGAAGAAGAAAGCUGGUCUUGUAGUACAAUCCUCCUCCCAUCUCAGCCUGCUCAGUCCCUGAAUUCCAGAACUGCGACCAUUCAGAAUCCUACCCAUCUCCUUCUUUUCUUUCCAGGGCACUUUUCCUCCUACAUUAUAUAUCUGGCUUUGCCCCAUGCUGAGACUGAGCCCAUGGCCUUAUGUUCCACCACUGAGCUACAUCU